CAGUCGCCGCGGUAAAACGAAGGGGGCUAGCGUUGCUCGGAAUUACUGGGCGUAAAGGGAGCGUAGGCGGAUCGUUAAGUUGGGGGUGAAAGCCCGGGGCUCAACCUCGGAACUGCCUUCAAUACUGGCGAUCUUGAGUAUGAGAGAGGUGUGUGGAACUCCGAGUGUAGAGGUGAAAUUCGCAGAUAUUCGGAAGAACACCAGUGGCGAAGGCGACACACUGGCUCAUUACUGACGCUGAGGCUCGAAAGCGUGGGGAGCAAACAGGAUUAGAUACCCCCGUAGUCCCUGUCUCUUAUAC
RNAcentral lists this ribosomal RNA (301 nucleotides) under uncultured bacterium. RNAcentral's name for it is "partial 16S ribosomal RNA". It matches the Rfam family "Bacterial small subunit ribosomal RNA", at positions 509 to 807 of the family's 1533-position model. The record is from RNAcentral.